UACGUAGGGUGCUAGCGUUAAUCGGAAUUACUGGGCGUAAAGCGUGCGCAGGCGGUUCUCCCAGUCCGUUGUGAAAGCCCCGGGCUCAACCUGGGAAUGGCGGUGGAAACUAGGGGACUGGAAUCUGGCAGAGGGGGGUGGAAUGCCGCGUGUAGCAGUGAAAUGCGUAGAGAUGCGGAGGAACACCGAUGGCGAAGGCAGCCCCCUGGGCUGAGAUUGACGCUCAGGCACGAAAGCGUGGGGAGCAAACAGG
This 253-nucleotide ribosomal RNA is filed under the name uncultured bacterium. RNAcentral's name for it is "partial 16S ribosomal RNA". It matches the Rfam family "Bacterial small subunit ribosomal RNA", at positions 524 to 776 of the family's 1533-position model. The record is from RNAcentral.